RNAcentral lists this ribosomal RNA (447 nucleotides) under uncultured bacterium. RNAcentral describes it as "bacterial SSU rRNA". It matches the Rfam family "Bacterial small subunit ribosomal RNA", at positions 29 to 514 of the family's 1533-position model. The record is from RNAcentral.
AACGAACGCUGGCGGCAGGCCUCAAACAUGCAAGUCUAGGGGGUGUAGCAAUACAUCACCGGCGGACGGGUGCGUAACACGUGGGAAUAUACCUUUUGGUUCGGAACAACGCAGGGAAACUUGCGCUAAUACCGAAUGUGCCCUUACGGGGAAAGAUUUAUCGCCAAAGGAUUAGCCCGCGUAGGAUUAGCUAGUUGGUGAGGUAAUGGCUCACCAAGGCUCCGAUCCUUAGCUGUUCUGAGAGGAAGAUCAGCCACACUGGGACUGAGACACGGCCCAGACUCCUACGGGAGGCAGCAGUUGGGAACCUUGGACAAUGGGGGAAACCCUGAUCCAGCCAUGCCGCGUGAGUGAUGAAGGCCUUCGGGUUGUAAAACGUACUUUCGACGGGGACGGAUAAUGACGGUACCCGUACGAAGAAGACUCCGGCUAAACUUCUGCCAGCAG